GACGAACGCUGGCGGCGUGCUUAACACAUGCAAGUCGAACGGUGAAGCGCCUUCCUUUUUGGUGGGUGUGGAUGAGUGGCGAACGGGUGAGUAACACGUGAGUAACCUGCCCCCUUCUUCUGGAUAACCGCAUGAAAGUGUGGCUAAUACGGGAUAUUCUGGCUCUGUCGCAUGAUGGGUCUGGGAAAGAUAUUGUUUCGGUGGGGGAUGGGCUCGCGGCCUAUCAGCUUGUUGGUGGGGUGAUGGCCUACCAAGGCGGUGACGGGUAGCCGGCCUGAGAGGGUGGACGGUCACACUGGGACUGAGACACGGCCCAGACUCCUACGGGAGGCAGCAGUGGGGAAUAUUGCACAAUGGGCGCAAGCCUGAUGCAGCGACGCCGCGUGAGGGAUGGAGGCCUUCGGGUUGUGAACCUCUUUCGCCAGUGAAGCAGGCCUGCCUCGUUUGUGGGUGGGUUGACGGUAGCUGGAUAAGAAGCGCCGGCUAACUACGUG
RNAcentral lists this ribosomal RNA (494 nucleotides) under uncultured bacterium. RNAcentral describes it as "partial 16S ribosomal RNA". It matches the Rfam family "Bacterial small subunit ribosomal RNA", at positions 28 to 507 of the family's 1533-position model. The record is from RNAcentral.